AAAAAAGGUAAGCUACUAAGAGCGAAUGGUGGAUGCCUUGACUGGUAAAGGCGAUGAAGGACGUACUAGACUGCGAUAAGCUACGGGGAGCUGUCAAGAAGCUUUGAUCCGUAGAUUUCCGAAUGGGGCAACCCAAUGUAUAGAGAUAUACAUUACCUAUAUAGGAGCGAACGAGGGGAAUUGAAACAUCUUAGUACCCUCAGGAAAAGAAAUCAAUAGAGAUUGCGUCAGUAGCGGCGAGCGAAAGCGCAAGAGGGCAAACCCAGUGCUUGCACUGGGGGUUGUAGGACUGCAAUGUGCAAGAGGUGAGUUUAGCAGAACAUUCUGGAAAGUAUAGCCAUAGAGGGUGAUAGUCCCGUAUGCGAAAAACAAACCUUAGCUAGCAGCAUCCUGAGUAGGGCGGGACACGAGAAAUCCUGUCUGAAGCUGGGUCGACCACGAUCCAACCCUAAAUACUAAUACCAGAUCGAUAGUGCACAAGUACCGUGAGGGAAAGGUGAAAAGAACUGAGGUGAUCAGAGUGAAAUAGAACCUGAAACCAUUUGCUUACAAUCAUUCAGAGCACUAUGUAGCAAUACAGUGUGAUGGACUGCCUUUUGCAUAAUGAGCCUGCGAGUUGUGGUGUCUGGCAAGGUUAAGCAAACGCGAAGCCGUAGCGAAAGCGAGUCUGAAUAGGGCGCUUAGUCAGAUGCUGCAGACCCGAAACGAAGUGAUCUAUCCAUGAGCAAGUUGAAGCUAGUGUAAGAACUAGUGGAGGACUGAACCCAUAGGCGUUGAAAAGCCCCGGGAUGACUUGUGGAUAGGGGUGAAAGGCCAAUCAAACUUCGUGAUAGCUGGUUCUCUCCGAAAUAUAUUUAGGUAUAGCGUUGUGUCGUAAUAUAAGGGGGUAGAGCACUGAAUGGGCUAGGGCAUACACCAAUGUACCAAACCCUAUCAAACUCCGAAUACCUUAUAUGUAAUCACAGCAGUCAGGCGGCGAGUGAUAAAAUCCGUCGUCAAGAGGGAAACAACCCAGACUACCAGCUAAGGUCCCUAAAUCUUACUUAAGUGGAAAACGAUGUGAAGUUACUUAAACAACCAGGAGGUUGGCUUAGAAGCAGCCAUCCUUUAAAGAAAGCGUAAUAGCUCACUGGUCUAGUGAUUUUGCGCGGAAAAUAUAACGGGGCUAAAGUAAGUACCGAAGCUGUAGACUUGACUUUGUCAAGUGGUAGGAGAGCGUUCUAUUUGCGUCGAAGGUAUACCGGUAAGGAGUGCUGGAGCGAAUAGAAGUGAGCAUGCAGGCAUGAGUAGCGAUAAUUAAUGUGAGAAUCAUUAACGCCGUAAACCCAAGGUUUCCUACGCGAUGCUCGUCAUCGUAGGGUUAGUCGGGUCCUAAGUCGAGUCCGAAAGGGGUAGACGAUGGCAAAUUGGUUAAUAUUCCAAUACCAACAUUAGUGUGCGAUGGAAGGACGCUUAGGGCUAAGGGGGCUAGCGGAUGGAAGUGCUAGUCUAAGGUCGUAGGUGCUUAUACAGGCAAAUCCGUAUAAGAAUACACCGAGAACUGAAAGGCUUUUUGAAGUCUUCGGAUGGAUAGAAGAACCCCUGAUGCCGUCGAGCCAAGAAAAGUUUCUAAGUUUAGCUAAUGUUGCCCGUACCGUAAACCGACACAGGUGGGUGGGAUGAGUAUUCUAAGGCGCGUGGAAGAACUCUCUUUAAGGAACUCUGCAAAAUAGCACCGUAUCUUCGGUAUAAGGUGUGGUUCGCUUCGUAUUAGGAUUUACUCCGAAAGCGAAGAAACUUACAACAAAGAGUCCCUCCCGACUGUUUACCAAAAACACAGCACUCUGCUAACUCGUAAGAGGAUGUAUAGGGUGUGACGCCUGCCCGGUGCUCGAAGGUUAAUUGAUGGGGUUAGCAUUAGCGAAGCUCUUGAUCGAAGCCCGAGUAAACGGCGGCCGUAACUAUAACGGUCCUAAGGUAGCGAAAUUCCUUGUCGGUUAAAUACCGACCUGCAUGAAUGGCGUAACGAGAUGGGAGCUGUCUCAAAGAGGGAUCCAGUGAAAUUGUAGUGGAGGUGAAAAUUCCUCCUACCCGCGGCAAGACGGAAAGACCCCGUGGACCUUUACUACAGCUUGACACUGCUACUUGGAUAAGAAUGUGCAGGAUAGGUGGGAGGCUUUGAGUAUAUGACGCCAGUUGUAUAUGAGCCAUUGUUGAGAUACCACUCUUUCUUAUUUGGGUAGCUAACCAGCUUGAGUUAUCCUCAAGUGGGACAAUGUCUGGUGGGUAGUUUGACUGGGGCGGUCGCCUCCCAAAUAAUAACGGAGGCUUACAAAGGUUGGCUCAGAACGGUUGGAAAUCGUUCGUAGAGUAUAAAGGUAUAAGCCAGCUUAACUGCAAGACAUACAAGUCAAGCAGAGACGAAAGUCGGUCUUAGUGAUCCGGUGGUUCUGUGUGGAAGGGCCAUCGCUCAAAGGAUAAAAGGUACCCCGGGGAUAACAGGCUGAUCUCCCCCAAGAGCUCACAUCGACGGGGAGGUUUGGCACCUCGAUGUCGGCUCAUCGCAUCCUGGGGCUGGAGCAGGUCCCAAGGGUAUGGCUGUUCGCCAUUUAAAGCGGUACGCGAGCUGGGUUCAGAACGUCGUGAGACAGUUCGGUCCCUAUCUGCCGUGGGCGUAAGAAGAUUGAAGAGAUUUGACCCUAGUACGAGAGGACCGGGUUGAACAAACCACUGGUGUAGCUGUUGUUCUGCCAAGAGCAUCGCAGCGUAGCUAAGUUUGGAAAGGAUAAACGCUGAAAGCAUCUAAGCGUGAAGCCAACUCUAAGAUGAAUCUUCUCUAAGCUCUCUAGAAGACUACUAGUUUGAUAGGCUGGGUGUGUAAUGGAUGAAAGUCCUUUAGCUGACCAGUACUAAUAGAGCGUUUGGCUUAUCUUUAAUAAAGCAU
RNAcentral lists this ribosomal RNA (2923 nucleotides) under Campylobacter coli. RNAcentral's name for it is "23S ribosomal RNA". It matches the Rfam family "Bacterial large subunit ribosomal RNA". The record is from RNAcentral. Lineage: Bacteria; Pseudomonadati; Campylobacterota; Epsilonproteobacteria; Campylobacterales; Campylobacteraceae.